RNAcentral lists this unclassified non-coding RNA (1199 nucleotides) under Zea mays. Its description in RNAcentral is "misc RNA Zm00001eb211840". The record is from RNAcentral. Lineage: Eukaryota; Viridiplantae; Streptophyta; Magnoliopsida; Poales; Poaceae.
CUCUGUGCUCUGCUCUCGUAUUUAUCGCAACAACCCGCCCUGCGGGCUGCGGCCCUGCCCCGUACACAAACAAGGCCGUAGCCCGCAGCUUCGUCUGUUACGCUACGUCCGGUUCCCCACCGCGCCGUGUGAAAAAAAUGGCUGUGCCGGAGGUGGUGGUGGACGGCGUCGUCUUCCCGCCGGCGGCCCGCCCGCCGGGCUCCGCGGGCUCGCAUUUCCUCGGCGGCGCAGGUGCGUUGCGUCCCCGGUCCAGUCCAGGCGUGCGUGGCCUCGAGAUCGGAGGCAACUUCGUCAAGUUCACGGCCAUCGGCGUGUACCUGGAGGACGCGGCCGUGCCGGCGCUGGCGAGGAAGUGGGCCGGCAAGACGGCCGGCGAGCUCGCGUCCGACGCCGCCUUCUUCCGCGACGUCGUCACGGGCGGCUUCGAGAAGUUCGCGCGGGUGACGAUGAUCCGCCCGCUCACGGGCGAGCAGUACGCGGGGAAAGUGGCGGAGAACUGCGUGGCGUACUGGAAGGCGGCCGGCCUGUACACGGACGCCGAGGGCGUCGCCGUGGAGAAGUUCAAGCAGGUGUUCAAGCCCCAUACGUUCCCGCCGGGAGCCUCCAUCCACUUCACGCACUCGCCCGCCGGAGUCCUCACCGUCGCCUUCUCCAGGGACUCGUCGGUGCCGGUUGCCGGCGGCGUGGCGAUCGACAACAAGCUUCUCUGCGAGGCCGUGCUGGAGUCCAUCAUCGGGGAGCACGGCGUGUCGCCGGCCGCGAAGCUGAGCCUCGCGGCGAGGGUGUCGGAGCUCCUGACCAAAGGGACCGCCGCAGCCGCAGCCGCGCUGCGGGCGGAGCCCGUCUCGGUUACCGCCUGAGCGGUCCAGCGAACCGCGAGGAGAAAGAGAACCGAUCAAGCAAUCACGUCUGCCGCCCUUGCGUGCUCCUGCUCCGAACAGAUGCCACGACGGACGGUGACGCUGUCGCGUCUGUUUGCGCUGUGGCGUUGGCGUCGUGUCUCUGCCUUUCUGGCCGCAUGUGUUCGCUGUGGUAACAUUUGAAUAAAAGAAAACGCAGAUUUGUUUGCACUGCACCCCCUAAUUCCCCAGCGUGUGUGGAUCAAUGUUUGACUCAACCACGGACUUUGGAGAUUGCUUAUUAGUACUGUGACGCCGAGACUAGUCACGGUUCCUGCUCUAACUAUGACCUACUUUGGC